This 379-nucleotide long non-coding RNA is filed under the name Scleropages formosus (Asian bonytongue). RNAcentral describes it as "lncRNA (ENSSFOG00015025534.1)". Lineage: Eukaryota; Metazoa; Chordata; Actinopteri; Osteoglossiformes; Osteoglossidae. The record is from RNAcentral.
CAUUGAUUGUGAUCCUUCACCAUUUUGCAAAGUGACACCAUGCAACCCUCUCACAGACAGAGCUGGAUUUGAACUCACAACAGAACCCCCAGCCCAGGAUCUGAGGGCCAAAUUGGGUUUGCACUUUUCUAAGGGAAAGGUCAUCUCAAGCUUGAAGUGUGCCAAAAGAAUUUCUUUGCUUCAUUUAAUUUUUAAAUGUCAUUUGAGUGAGGAGAGGAUUAUAGCUGUGGAAUGCAGAACUAUGACCUCUACGUACUACUGUACACACCCUGUACAUGUAUUUUUUUUACCUCUAUAAUUAUUUCAGCAGUAAACAGUAGGACAAUUUGACUUUUCAGAUUUUUGGAUAAAAGCUAAAUAUUGUUAACUUACACAGUGC